RNAcentral lists this long non-coding RNA (1891 nucleotides) under Monomorium pharaonis (pharaoh ant). Its description in RNAcentral is "uncharacterized LOC114255523". The record is from RNAcentral. Lineage: Eukaryota; Metazoa; Arthropoda; Insecta; Hymenoptera; Formicidae.
AAAAUCUUCCCGGAGAUUGCAGAGGAACGGACGACGAGGGAGUCAAAGAAGACCCUUUCUAAGCGGGGGUCCGCAGGUAAUGCCGCCCUUAUCUUGCCUACCGUUUGUGCCAUGUAAGAAUUCCGAUACUGCCGCUGAAUCACGCUUUCAGGACCCAGCGACGGCGCGCGAUGCCGACAUCCCGACGGGGCGACUGCAGACCCGAUACCGCGGGAAGUCCGGCGAAAGAAUCACGACAACUCAAGAUCCGCCGACGCCUCGUCGAGGAGGAAAUGACGCCCCGAUGGCGGAGGAUACGUCGGGCGAGGAGAGAAGAGUCGGCCACGCAAAGAAGCGCCAGGAUUCCCGUGCCCGGGGCCCAUAAUUAUCGACCGCCGUGCGUGGAUCGAUCAGCCGGCGACAGCGUGGGCACCGCGCUCUGCGCGAAAAUCGAUUUUCGCGAAAUCAGCCAAUAAGGGCCGGGAGCGCCGGAGGCAGGGUGGGGCGCGCCGCCGAGCGGCUCCCGCGAGAUCCAGGAUUCCUCACUCGUGCUGCGGACUUAGAGACAAAAAUUGUGCGUGCGUUCCGAGUUCCCGAGCCGAGCUGUAAGGGAGGACGAAGGGACGGAAGUCAUCCCGACCCGGAGGAGGCCACGAGGAGAGAGGCAAAGUGGAAAACGGUGUACGAAUUAUUAUCAUGAAAUCAACGAGGAGUGCAUAAACCAAGUCGAGUAGCAAGCGUGGCGUAACAUGCAUGAGGGUAAUGUAGCAUGAUGCAUGCUCAUAAAAGUUAUUGUGAUGAAGACGAAAUGUGGAUACUGAAGAACUUUUCUAUGGUCCAGGGGUUGCUGAAUAACAGUGAGUGAGUUAAUUUUUUAUUUCAAAGUAUAAAUAAUCUGAAAAUUUUAAACGCGUUUUUCUCAAAAUAAGAUUUUUUGACCGCGAUUUUUGACAGCAAAUCAAAAAAUCUAACAAUCCAAUUAAUUUGAUUAAGACAGCAUUUUGUAAAAAAAAACUUUUUACAAUACGUAGCCAUUUUUUGAUUGAUAAAGAAUAAAUUGUAAUAUAAUAUUAAAAAUGUAUUUAUUAAACUUAUCAAUUUAAGCAAUGGUUAUUAAUGUCUUCAUCAUUGUGGUAAUGCAUCUGCAACGGCUUACAAAUUUCUUCGGUUUCCUGUAUACCUAAAUGUCUAACCCUAGCGUUUCAGAAUCAUUGUUUUAUUAUUUUUAAGGAUGCAACAAUCUCUUUUUGAAAUUCUUCCCUGGUUGGCUUAGGAUAUAGUAUCGAUUUGAUGCUGCAACUUCCAAAAUAUAAAAGAUAAUUUAAUAUUUUAUAAUCAAUAUUAUUUAACAAUAGCGCACAAAGUAACAAAUAUAUACGUACGAUAAAUUGCUUGAUAUAAAACUGUAUUAUAGAAUGGUAAUUUAACAUCAUUAACUCCCCACCACAUCAAAUGCUCGGCUACUUGCGCUAUUAGGCUCCCUUCAUGCAUUGAUGCAUGCUGUCUUUUAAUGUCACGCAGUUUAAAAAAUUUAAGUAAUGUACCUGAAUAUAAAUACACAUUAUUACAACAAAAGAAAGAAAUGCUAUUUAGUAUAUUUUUAUAUAAUUGUAAAACAAUGAUUCCAUGACGUUUUGAUCUAUAAUAAAUUUAUUUUUAGUGCGAUGAUAGAGUCACGGUGACUUAAAAAAUAAACAUAAAAAUAAAAAUGAAUUGAUUUUUACACAUAUAUUGAUCAAUGAUUCAAAUUUCUUACAAAAUUGUCGAGGUAUGGAACAAAUUCUGAUGAUACAAAUUAUUGCACAGUAAUAUAUGACUGAAGUAUAUGCAUUUAUAAAAUAAUUCUUUUUAAUACAUUAAAAAUGAAUUAUAAUUUGUAUGGAAUAUAUGAAAAACAUAAUAUAAAGCAAAA